GAGGAAUAUUGGGCAAUGCCCGCAAGGGUGACCCAGCAACGCCGCGUGGAGGAUGAAUGUCGUAAGAUUGUAAACUCCUGUUAGAGGGGAAGAAUAGUACCGGUUGGACCGGUAUAUGACUGUACCCUCAGAGAAAGCCCCGGCUAACUACGUGCCAGCAGCCGCGGUAAUACGUAGGGGGCAAGCGUUGUCCGGAUUUACUGGGUGUAAAGGGCGCGCAGGCGGGAUAAAAAGUCAGUGGUGAAAUCCUACAGCUUAACUGUAGAACUGCCUUUGAUACUUUUAUUCUUGAGUUCGGGAGAGAGAGACGGAAUUCCAGGUGUAGUGGUGAAAUACGUAGAUAUCUGGAAGAACACCAGUUGCGAAGGCGGUCUCUUGGUCCGAUACUGACGCUGAGGCGCGAAAGCGUGGGGAGCAAACA
Molecule: ribosomal RNA, 421 nt
Filed under: uncultured bacterium
Lineage: Bacteria
Description: bacterial SSU rRNA
Rfam family: Bacterial small subunit ribosomal RNA
Source: RNAcentral